Molecule: ribosomal RNA, 422 nt
Filed under: uncultured bacterium
Lineage: Bacteria
Description: partial 16S ribosomal RNA
Rfam family: Bacterial small subunit ribosomal RNA
Source: RNAcentral
AAUUUUGGACAAUGGGGGCAACCCUGAUCCAGCCAUCCCGCGUGUGCGAUGAAGGCCUUCGGGUUUUAAAGCACUUUUGGCAGUGAAGAAAAGGCUCUGGUUAAUACCUGGAGAUGCUGACGGUACUUCCAGAAUAAGCCCUGGCUCACUACGUGCCAGCAGCAGCGGUAAUACGUAGGGUGCAAGCGUUAAUCGGAAUUACUGGGCGUAAAGGGUGCGCAGGCGGUUUGGCAAGAAGGAUGUGAAAUCCCGGGGCUUAACCUCGGAACUGCUUUCUUAACUGCCAGGCUAGAGUAUGUCAGAGGGGGGUAGAAUUCCGCGUGUGGCAGUGAAAUGCGUAGAGAUGCGGAGGAAUACCGAUGGCGAAGGCAGCCCCCUGGGAUAAUACUGACGCUCAGGCACGAAAGCGUGGGGAGCAAACA